Molecule: ribosomal RNA, 1039 nt
Filed under: Aspergillus sp.
Lineage: Eukaryota; Fungi; Ascomycota; Eurotiomycetes; Eurotiales; Aspergillaceae
Description: SSU rRNA
Rfam family: Eukaryotic small subunit ribosomal RNA
Source: RNAcentral
GUCUAGUAAAGCACUUUAUACUGUGAAACUGCGAAUGGCUCAUUAAAUCAGUUAUCGUUUAUUUGAUAGUACCUUACUACAUGGAUACCUGUGGUAAUUCUAGAGCUAAUACAUGCUGAAAACCCCAACUUCGGAAGGGGUGUAUUUAUUAGAUAAAAAACCAAUGCCCUUCGGGGCUCCUUGGUGAAUCAUAAUAACUUAACGAAUCGCAUGGCCUUGCGCCGGCGAUGGUUCAUUCAAAUUUCUGCCCUAUCAACUUUCGAUGGUAGGAUAGUGGCCUACCAUGGUGGCAACGGGUAACGGGGAAUUAGGGUUCGAUUCCGGAGAGGGAGCCUGAGAAACGGCUACCACAUCCAAGGAAGGCAGCAGGCGCGCAAAUUACCCAAUCCCGACACGGGGAGGUAGUGACAAUAAAUACUGAUACGGGGCUCUUUUGGGUCUCGUAAUUGGAAUGAGUACAAUCUAAAUCCCUUAACGAGGAACAAUUGGAGGGCAAGUCUGGUGCCAGCAGCCGCGGUAAUUCCAGCUCCAAUAGCGUAUAUUAAAGUUGUUGCAGUUAAAAAGCUCGUAGUUGAACCUUGGGUCUGGCUGACCGGUCCGCCUCACCGCGAGUACUGGUCCGGCUGGACCUUUCCUUCUGGGGAACCCCAUGGCCUUCACUGGCCGUGGGUGGGAACCAGGACUUUUACUGUGAAAAAAUUAGAGUGUUCAAAGCAGGCCUUUGCUCGAAUACAUUAGCAUGGAAUAAUAGAAUAGGACGUGCGGUUCUAUUUUGUUGGUUUCUAGGACCGCCGUAAUGAUUAAUAGGGAUAGUCGGGGGCGUCAGUAUUCAGCUGUCAGAGGUGAAAUUUCUUGGAUUUGCUGAAGACUAACUACUGCGAAAGCAUUCGCCAAGGAUGUUUUCAUUAAUCAGGGAACGAAAGUUAGGGGAUCGAAGACGAUCAGAUACCGUCGUAGUCUUAACCAUAAACUAUGCCGACUAGGGAUCGGGCGGUGUUUCUAUUAUGACCCGCUCGGCACCUUACGAGAAAUCAAAGUU